CAAGGGGAAGUACCAGCUCU
This 20-nucleotide microRNA is filed under the name Ciona intestinalis (vase tunicate). Its description in RNAcentral is "cin-miR-4005b-3p". The record is from miRBase by way of RNAcentral. Lineage: Eukaryota; Metazoa; Chordata; Ascidiacea; Phlebobranchia; Cionidae.